Molecule: long non-coding RNA, 234 nt
Filed under: Bos taurus (domestic cattle)
Lineage: Eukaryota; Metazoa; Chordata; Mammalia; Artiodactyla; Bovidae
Description: long non-coding RNA NONBTAT023175
Source: RNAcentral
AUUAAAGGAUUAGUCUGUAAUAUAUGGUUAAUUUGAAAAAUCUAUUCUUCAGUACAUAGUAUACUUGAAGUUUUCCUGUUUGAGUGAUGAAGGUGGAUUUGUAUGAAUAGUAGAUGAUGGGAGGGCCAAACGUGAUACUGGCUCAGGAUCUUUUGCGGUUCCCCUUUUAAUUCCUGGCUGUCUCUAGCCCUUUAUUCCCAAAGCUUUUCUCCUUGCUUGCUUAUUUAAACUUUG